AAAUGGUAAAAUUUUUUUUUUUUUUUUUUUUUUUUUUUUGCUAAGGUGAAGGACAAGUGCAAUGUGCGCUAGACUUGUUUACUGGAUUUGCCUCACGCGUGCGUAAGGAAGGUAUAUGCUGUGCUGGAGCGCAGGGUUUUUUCCAAGAGGACGCAGCUCAAUGUGAAUAAAAAAAGAAGACUGCUAAGCCCGAGAGUUUCAAGCAAGUACAAGCAGCGCGUCUGGCCGAGCUGCUCUGACUACACCGUUUCCCCCCCUGAGGGGAUGGUCGUGGAUCCUCUGGAGCCAGGAGCGACUCAGGGGCUCCUACGCGGCAGCACAUUUUUCGUGUUUGAGGGAGACUUUACAGUAAAAGGAGAUGAGAGCCACAAUUUGCUGCUUCCUGCUGUGGACGACGUACCUGCUGGCCACUGCUGAGAAGGAAGUGGAGUUUCCCCAGGAGCUGAUCGAUCGACUCUCCAACAGUGAAAUCCACAGCAUCAGCGACCUCCAGCGGUUACUGGAGAUUGACUCCGUAGGUACGGGAAACGAUGUUGUUGAGGAGCACAAGCACCACAAGCACCACAACCACCAUAAGAACUCGUCCCAUCAUCACGGUUACUACAAUGACCUGAAAAGCUCCCAGCUGCACAGCCGACGCAAGAGGAGCAUUGUCGAAGAGGCCGUCCCGGCAGCAUGCAAGACGCGGACGGUGAUCUACGAGAUCCCCCGGAGCCAGGUGGAUCCCACAUCUGCCAACUUCCUGAUAUGGCCGCCCUGUGUGGAGGUGAAGCGCUGCACAGGAUGCUGCAACACCAGCAACAUGCGCUGUCACCCUUCCCGCAAGCACCACCGCACCGUUAAGGUAGCCAAGGUGGAGUACGUGAGGAGGAGACCCAAGCUGAAGGAGGUCUUUGUGAGGUUAGAGGACCACCUGGAGUGCUUGUGCACAUCGCAACAUCACGUGGUAGAACACUUAGAUCCAGAAACAGGCCAUCGUAGGGUUAAAGGUAGAAAAAGGAAACCUAAAAAGCUAAGGCCCACCCAGGACUUAUUGGUGACAUAAUAAAGGUGCUCAUAUUACCCAAAGUCCACUGCAAAGCUGUGACAGGACACAGCGGAUGUGAGGUGAGACCUCCCAGAAUAAGGGGCAGCAUCACGGGAUGGACCUAAACCAGAAGAGGACACCGUUUUCUUUGUCUGUCUCUCCACCCACCAUGCAAACAUUGUUCAAGGAAAAUAUACUUUCUCCAAAAGUCUUGAGACUGAAAAAUAGACAACAGACUAAAAAUACAGAAUGCCAAAGGUGCUUUCAAAACCAGUAAUGAUGAGGGCAACUGAACUGUGCUGCUGAUUACGAAGAAAAAAAACAAAAAAGAAGAUGCCGUGAAGCUCAGACUUCAAGAGGAUGGAAGGAAUUUGGGAUGAACAAUUCAAAAGACACGCAAAAUGGAAAAUAGACUGUGGGAUCAGACUUUUUUUUGUGAAUCCAGUGCUAUAGCUCAAAGUGCCCUGUUUGUAUAAAAAAACUGUUGCAUUCAUAAAAAGAAAGCAAAAGGAAGAUAGGAGUAAAGAUGCAAGGAAACAGUUUGGGAGUGUUCAUUUUUCCUAUAAGAGGCAGAAAACAUUGUGACUGAUGGACAAUUUGUUCAAAUUAAGGAAGAAACAGCCUCAGAGACUUCCGGUUUUGAAAUUGCCUUACCUGCUAUGUACAUAUAGAUCUAAAAACAAAAAAACAAAAAAACAAAAAAAAAAAACAGAGGAUGCGCCGCUGCUUACAAACUAUUUAUGUGUGUGGACAUUUGCUUUUGUCACUUUCAGUCUUCGAGAAAGGACAAAAAAAAUAUGUUUUUAUUAAUUUCCGCAGACAUACUGGUAUGUUUGGUCCAGUCCUUUGCUUUCACCAGUAUCACAAUCUCAGUGUCAUUUUUGUUUUUUAGCAGUUGUUUUUUUUUUCCAUCGUCAACCAUGUUUCGUAUUAUAUUGCAGUAUAUCUGAUUGAUGUCAAGUCUUGCAUAUGGUUCAGAUGUAUGUGUGCAAGGAGGAGAUGUGAGAGUUAGUAAAGGAAGAUGUUUUAUUUUUGUUAUGAAAUAUAUUAUGCAUACUUAUAUCCAAGCAGGAAUGAUGUUUUCUUUCUUCUUUUUUUUUUUGGAAAACAAUGCAAAUCAUUUUAGCAGAUGGUCAAAUUGGUAAGGUUGAAAUCUGUUUUCAUCACUUUUGUACAAGGGUAUAAAAAAGCAGAAUCAAUAGCUAGUGGUAGUUUAUAUUUCCUUAUGCUGCAGUCAUGCUCCUUUUUUCCAGACAAACAAACAAGCAGAUAUUACAAUAUGUCGAUGACAAUCGCAUAACUAUACCAGAAAAGGUACCACAGUGUACAGAUCUAAGUAAAAGUGUAGUUGUAGUUGGGUCUGUGUCCUUACAAUGAAGCGAUAUUUGGUGCCUUAAACUCCUGUUUAGGAUUCACUUUAAUUUGAUUUACGUUUACAUGUUUAAAUCUUUUGUCUCUAAAUCCAUAGUUUCCAUGCCAGUCAACAAAAUGCUACAGGUCAAUGAGCUGAGUCCAAAUUUCAGACAAAUUUAUCUGACAUCCAUAUCAGAAGUGAAA
RNA transcript from Poecilia latipinna (sailfin molly), 2584 nucleotides. It is a transcript of the gene named platelet-derived growth factor alpha polypeptide b, with no coding region annotated. The record is from RefSeq and is a predicted model, not a curated record. The transcript is spliced from 7 exons. NCBI's taxonomy places the organism in Eukaryota, Metazoa, Chordata, Actinopteri, Cyprinodontiformes, Poeciliidae.